UACGUAGGUGUCAAGCGUUGUCCGGAUUUAUUGGGCGUAAAGCGCCCGCAGGCGGCUUGCCAAGUUCGAUGUGAAAUCUCCCGGCUCAACUGGGAGGGUGCAUCGAAAACUGGCAGGCUUGAGGCAGGGAGAGGGAUGUGGAAUUCCAGGUGUAGUGGUGAAAUGCGUAGAUAUCUGGAGGAACACCAGCGGCGAAGGCGGCAUUCUGGGCCGAUACUGACGCUGAGGAGCGAAAGCGUGGGGAGCGAACAGG
This 253-nucleotide ribosomal RNA is filed under the name uncultured bacterium. RNAcentral describes it as "partial 16S ribosomal RNA". It matches the Rfam family "Bacterial small subunit ribosomal RNA", at positions 524 to 776 of the family's 1533-position model. The record is from RNAcentral.